Long non-coding RNA from Gopherus flavomarginatus (Mexican gopher tortoise), 417 nucleotides. RefSeq lists it as uncharacterized. The transcript has 3 exons. The record is from RefSeq and is a predicted model, not a curated record. Lineage: Eukaryota; Metazoa; Chordata; Testudines; Testudinidae.
GCCAGCCUCCCCUCCCCACCAGCACCUCACUCAACCCAGCCCUGACAGAGGGGAGGGAGGAGGGAGAGAGGGGUGCCACAGAGCCUGCCUCGCCUCACCUCAGCCGGGGGGAAAGAGUCACACUCACAGGACCCAGCAGCCCUGCUUCUACACUGUCUGGGCUGCCUGCAGAGUGGUGCCCCCAGGGAGAGUGAGGCCCUACGCGGCUGCCUAUUCUGCCUAUGCCUAAGGAUGGCCCUGCAAGAUAUACCACAUCUACUAUUUCCCCCUAUCCACAAGAUGGACACUAUAUUUGCCCUUUUCCAGUCUUCUGGAAUCUCUCUCAUCUUCCAUGACUUUCCAAAGAUAAUUGCUAAUGGUUCAGAUAUCUCCUCAGUCAGCUCCUUGAGUAUUUUAGGAUGCAUUUCAUCAGGUCCU